Long non-coding RNA from Pipra filicauda (Wire-tailed manakin), 441 nucleotides. RefSeq lists it as uncharacterized. The record is from RefSeq and is a predicted model, not a curated record. NCBI's taxonomy places the organism in Eukaryota, Metazoa, Chordata, Aves, Passeriformes, Pipridae. The transcript has 2 exons.
CCUGUCCCCAGUAUAUGCUCUUAUAAGGGUGUGCUCAAGUGCUUCUUUCUAUCCUUACAGGGAGGAAAAAACAAGUCAAAUUAAUCAAAAAUCCCAUAACUUCUUAACCAAAGCCCGGCAAAAAAAUAAUGAAGUAACAUAUGUUAACUAUAACAGAUCUUCAAAGCUCUAGUUCACGAACAUAGUGUCAGAGUACCCAGAAAGAGCAGAGGAUUACCUGUGCCCUCAGAUAUUUUCAGAAGAGACUGAGGAAGGGAAAAAGAAGAACAGACAACUGAAGUACACAAAGCCAAGCUGCAUGUUUAGGACACAGUCAAAGUGAGCUUAAACAUUGCUGCUUGAAAAUGACAAGAGCACAAGUCACAACGGUUGUGGAGCCUACAGCUGGAAGCAAAUAAAGUUACAAGAGAGAGAGAUUUAUAUUAAAUAAUUAUACAAGUA